UGGGGCGGCGGACCGUAUGCAGGUCCCCACGGUUGGGGCGACGGUGCGUACGUGGGUCCGUACGGGGGUGCCGGCCACCCGGGUGGCAGUGUGUAUGGAGGUGCCGGCGGUCGAGGUGGGGGACCGUUCGGAGGUCCCGGCGGCCCUGGCGGCGGUGCGUACGCGGGUGCGCACGGGGGUGCCGGCCACCCGGGUGGCAUUGUGUAUGGAGGUGCCGGCGGUCGGGCGGGGGACCGUUCGGAGGUCCCGGCGGCCCUGGCGGCGGGUGCGUACGCGGGUGCGCACGGGGGGUGCCGGCCAGCCGGGUGGCAGUGUGUAUGGAGGGUGCCGGCGGUCGAGGUGGGGGACCGUUCGGAGGUCCCGGCGGCCCUGGCGGCGGUGCGUACGCGGGUGCGCACGGGGGUGCCGGCCACCCGGGUGGCAUUGUGUAUGGAGGUGCCGGCGGUCCGGGCGGGGGACCGUUCGGAGGUCCCGGCGGCCCUGGCGGCGGCGCGUACGCGGGGUGCGCACGGGGGUGCCGGCCACCCGGGUGGCAUUGUGUAUGGAGGUGCCGGCGGUCGGGGUGGGGGACCGCUCGGAGGUCCCGGCGGCCCUGGCGGCGGAGCGGCGGCGGCGGGCCAGCAGCGGAGGCGGCACCGGCCACGGUGUGAGCUGCUUGGACGGACACCGGGCCAGUCCGGUUAUGGACCUUAUGGUGGCGCCGGAGGCCGCGGCGGCGGAAGGAACUGCUUAGAUGUGCGUUCGGGGCCCGCUGGUGUGAGCACGGUGCGAGCUCCCGCUGAUGCGAACACGGCGCAUGGAGCUGGCGGAGGUGCGCCAGGGGCUCCAGCGGGGUAUGCAGGAGCUGCGGGAGCGCCUGGGAAAGAGUGACCCCUGUUGGCAGGCUGAGAACACCCCGGUGCCACACAUGGUGUUGACAGUAUUUCUGCUGGCGUUCCAACCAUGCAUUAUUUAAAACAGAGCGCUAGCCAUCCGCUUUGGUGUAUGGGCGCGUAUAGUUUUAGAGACGAUGUACUGUGCCACCCUCCGGCUCUCUGUACGUCACUGAAGUCUGACGGUGCACUCUUCUCUGUUGUUGUUGGAUUGGUGGAAUGGCAUGGCUGACCGUCAAUAUCGUGAUCGCUUUCUGCACAUACACCGCGUAUGCCGUCUCAGUUCAGUGUAAAUGCACCUAAUACUUGCACUGUUGUAGACCUGACCAUCCCGCUGGCAAGCUUGCAAGCCGCAGAGGCACUUGAUGCGCAUCAAAUGGCCAUGCAGGCUGGUAAGACUGGCCUCGCGGUGUAUCGUGUACAUUAGAUACAAAAUAUAACGUAUUUGACUUUAGCUCAUUGCACACACAAGCGCACGAUGUGAAUGGCGCAAAGGCGAUGAAUAUCACGCCGAAUAUGUCCGAAAUGCUGGGAUUCACCGGCAGCUGGGAAAUCGGAAACGGCGACCAACAAAUCUGCUGUCAUAAGACAUACCUUGGUAUGAAAUAGCUAAUUUCAUAUCCUAUUCCUGCCAUAUUAACACGUCAUGCUUUGCACCUAUGUCGACCAAUCAACCAUCAGUACGCAAAAGCUGAACCUUGGAAAAGCAAAAACAAAAUACCAACCUUGAUGACCUUGGGAUGUCACAGCAUAAGAACACGUCACAGCCUUAGUGUGCCAGUAACGUGUCGGCAUUGUUCGAGCCUGCCGCGUAACGUCAUCGAUAUUGUUAUAUUCAUAAUUUAAGAUGAUCUAAUUCUGCUGUUUUAGUAUAAUGAGGGUUAUUUUCUCCUCCAAAGAAGAUGAUUCAUGUACAGUGUGUUUGUGCAAAGCCAAAUAAAACCCGUGGCAAAACAAGG
Pollicipes pollicipes is the source of this 1831-nucleotide long non-coding RNA. RefSeq lists it as uncharacterized. The record is from RefSeq and is a predicted model, not a curated record. The transcript is spliced from 3 exons. Lineage: Eukaryota; Metazoa; Arthropoda; Thecostraca; Pollicipedomorpha; Pollicipedidae.